Molecule: long non-coding RNA, 314 nt
Filed under: Solanum tuberosum (potato)
Lineage: Eukaryota; Viridiplantae; Streptophyta; Magnoliopsida; Solanales; Solanaceae
Description: long non-coding RNA (STUB_LNC009197)
Source: RNAcentral
UCCCGUAUCUAUCAUUGGUGUAUAAUAUCUGUUAUAAUAUCCCUCUAUUAUUAUCUUUGCAAGUAUGUAUAUUUUCAUACUAAGGUUCUUUUUAUUAUUACUCUUUUAUUUUCAUAAUUUAUUGUUAACUGUUUGUCUUCUAGAUUAUAUGGUUUUACUUGUUCUAGCCAUUUUUAUUCCUAAAAUGAUGUUUUCAUCUCCUUGAUAUAUUUUAAAUUUUAUCACUAUUGGUACUCCUCCAAUGAUUAUUUCCUUUUAUGUAGUUUCUUCGGUAUACAUUAAUGCUUUCGGUAGUUCGGGCAUGAUUGUUCAGU